RNA transcript from Cucumis melo (muskmelon), 2945 nucleotides. It is a transcript of the gene named lipoyl synthase 2, mitochondrial, with no coding region annotated. The record is from RefSeq and is a predicted model, not a curated record. NCBI's taxonomy places the organism in Eukaryota, Viridiplantae, Streptophyta, Magnoliopsida, Cucurbitales, Cucurbitaceae. The transcript is spliced from 5 exons.
AAAACGCAUUACGAACGAACGCCCUUCAACUAUCCAAAUCCACCCAAAUUCCGGUUAGGCUUCUUCUCCGAGAUCGACGACCACGAUGAACAAACGUUGCCAAAGCCUUGCUCGAAUCCUCAAAUCCGUCAGUAGAUCAUUCUCUUCUUCAUCUUCUUCCACCUCCGCCUCUGCCACAUCUUCCCAAUUCCCGCGCACGUUGGCCGGUCUCCGGGAACGACUCGCAGCGGAGUCCCCAUCACUUUCCGACUUCGUUGAUCUGCAAUCUUCUGAUUCGUAUUCUGUGGAGGUUGGUACGAAGAAGAAGCCCCUUCCUAAACCUAAAUGGAUGAAGGAAUCGGUGCCUGGAGGCGAGAAAUAUGUUCAAAUCAAGAAGAAGCUCCGGGAAUUGAAGCUUCAUACGGUUUGUGAGGAGGCUAAAUGCCCUAAUUUAGGGGAAUGCUGGUCUGGUGGAGAAACCGGCACUGCCACUGCUACGAUUAUGAUUCUUGGUGACACUUGUACCCGUGGUUGCAGGUUCUGUAACGUGAAGACAUCACGAACUCCACCUCCACCGGAUCCAAAUGAGCCGACAAAUGUUGCUGAAGCAAUUGCAUCAUGGGGUUUGGAUUAUGUGGUCAUUACUAGUGUCGAUCGCGACGAUUUACCUGAUCAAGGGAGUGGUCAUUUUGCAGAGACUGUGCAGAAACUUAAGGUGUUGAAGCCAAAUAUGCUGAUCGAGGCAUUGGUUCCUGAUUUUCGAGGAGACUCUGGCUGUGUGGAGAAAGUUGCAAGGUCAGGCCUUGACGUCUUUGCUCACAAUAUAGAGACAGUUGAAGAGCUUCAAGGAGCAGUUAGGGAUCACCGUGCUAAUUUCAAGCAAUCAUUAGACGUUCUAGUUAUGGCCAAAGAGUUUUCUCCUUCUGGAACUCUUACAAAGACUUCCAUUAUGUUAGGCUGUGGGGAAACACCAGAUCAAGUUGUGCAAACAAUGGAGAAGGUGAGAGCAGCUGGAGUUGAUGUGAUGACAUUUGGGCAGUAUAUGAGACCUUCAAAACGCCAUAUGCCUGUAUCAGAAUACAUUACUCCUGAGGCUUUUGAGAAGUAUCAAAAUCUUGGCAUGAAAAUGGGUUUUCGAUAUGUGGCAUCUGGCCCAAUGGUUAGGUCCUCAUACAAGGCAGGAGAAUUCUAUAUCAAGUCAAUGAUUGAAUCAGAUCGGGCAGCUUCUAAUUCACAGCCUACCCAACUUUGAUUAUUGUUACCAUUUCUAUUGGUCAUCUGUCCCCAACAAUCCCUACAAAAUUUAACCAUGUUGCAUGUAAGUUGACAUAUAAGCAAAUUGGACUUUUGAUUUGAUGGAUUUGUCCAGUCGUUUUGUCAAAUUCUUGUGCUCCUGAUCCGCUGCAGAUGUAUUGUCACUGUAGCCAUAAAUUUUUGCUCGACUCCUAUAUAAUAUCUCCCCUUCAUCCUGUUCUGGCUGAUCAGCAUAGGGCAGGUUCAACUGUGAACGAGUUGACUUAAAGGAUCUGGUAAUUUUCUUCUCUAGUCCUCAUUCUCUACGGAUUGAAAAGAUGUUAAGGUCAUGAAAAGAUGUAAUGUUCCCUGUAGAGUGGUAAAAUAUUUAUUUUUAUAGAAGAGCGUUAAAAAGGAACGUCAAGUGAACAUUAACAUCUUUUUACGAUUCCUCUGCCUUAAGCCAAUCCCAUGCCUCGUAUUAAGCACGCCAUUGACAGUCAGUUCCUUCUCCAUUGGUACUGGGCGUCGAGCCAUUUCACUGCCAACUCUGCCAGUGUCUCGCCCAGGUGCAUUCCUUUCCCACCCAAAAUUCAGUACCCUAAUCGUUAAUUUCAAAUUUUCAAAUCUUCAAAUUCUAAUAUCUCACUUCAUUUAGCUUCCAUUUCCAUUUCCAUUUUUCACAUUCACCACUCUAUGGGUUGUUGCUGUAGCAGAGCCUUGGACAGGGGUCAACCUCAUACCCUGGACAAGAAUCAUCGUUCUGCAAAGCCUCCGUCACCGGGAUGGUUCGACACUGAUGUCGAAAACGUCCCAGACAACAGAACCCCGGAAGAAGAAACCGUCAAAGAAGUCCUCUCAGAGACUCCCAUUGCUAAGCCAUGUAGUGUAGAGCAAACAUCCCAUAAGAAGCCACCGGAGCAGAAAGUAAAAGCAAGCGAAAUGGAUGGUUCGCUUGUCAAGGGAGAGGAAAGUAUUGUUUCAGUUUCGGAGACGUCUCAGGUUACAGAAUGGUGCAGCAAUAUGAGUGAAAGCGUGUCGAUGGCGACCACCAUUUCGGAGCAAAGGGAAGGGGAUGAAGCAUCAAGUAAGAGCAGAGAAAUUGGUCGAAAUAUAAAACCGAAGAUUCGCAGAAAGCGGCCAUGCUCCGGCGACCUAUCAUAUCGAAGAGAACAGAGAGACAAAUGUGCAACAAAGAGGCCUGCUGAACUUUUACCAGAGAAGAAGUCCCGUGUGAAUUGCAGGUACUCACAUGGGACGACAGAAUCAAGAGAGGCAAGGACCAGGAAACUGAAUGGAGUGCAGCACGAGCAACAAUCUGGAGUCAGCCAUGGCCGCCGUUCGAGGUCACCAGCUGCUCGAACAGUUAAAGAUACGAAUAAGACAGGGAAUAUGAAAAGCAGUGUCAUGAAAAUGACUGGACAAGCUGGGGACCAACAAGAGACAGUGACCACCGAGAAUAGAGACGAAGGGAAGUUGGAGAAGCCAAUGGAUGGUUCAAUUCAGCCCCCAAAUGAAUCCAUUGAAAACCCACUUGUCUCACUUGAAUGUUUCAUCUUUCUGUAGAUUAUAAUGCAGUGUAUUUGGUUGGUGUUGAUUUGUUAUCAAUUUUCCUGAAAUAUGUUGUACACAAGACUUUGUUAGUUUCUGUAGUUCUUUCGAUUGCUUGACUUUUCCUUGCUAUGCUUCGUUUUUGUAAAUGGUAAGUGGUAACAUGGUUUGUUUUGACUCCA